GCGCCAGUGGUCUAGUGGUUAAGACCCGAGCCUUCCAAGCUCGUGACCCGGGUUCGAAUCCCGGCUGGCGCA
RNAcentral lists this transfer RNA (72 nucleotides) under Candidatus Pacearchaeota archaeon ex4484_31. RNAcentral describes it as "tRNA-Gly". It matches the Rfam family "tRNA". From Rfam's summary of the family: Transfer RNA (tRNA) molecules are approximately 80 nucleotides in length. Their secondary structure includes four short double-helical elements and three loops (D, anti-codon, and T loops). Lineage: Archaea; Nanobdellati. The record is from RNAcentral.